CGCGAAAACUUCGCAAUAAGCGAAAGCUUGACGGGGCCAUCCCGAGUGCCAUCUGCUGAGGAUGGCUUUUACCCAGUGUAGAUAGCUGGGGGAAUAAGGAGAGGGCAAGUCUGGUGUCAGCCGCCGCGGUAAUACCAGCUCUCCGAGUUGUGGGGAUGUUUAUUGGGCCUAAAGCAUCCGUAGCCGGCUGGGCAAGUCCUCUGUUAAACCCAGCGAUUAAUCGUUGGCCUGCGGGGGAUACUGUCCGGCUAGGGGGCGGGAGAGGCCGUCGGUAUUCUCGGGGUAGGGGUGAAAUCCUAUAAUCCCGGGAGGACCACCAGUGGCGAAGGCUGUCGGCUAGAACGCGCCCGACGGUGAGGGAUGAAAGCUGGGGGAGCGAACCG
Molecule: ribosomal RNA, 383 nt
Filed under: uncultured bacterium
Lineage: Bacteria
Description: bacterial SSU rRNA
Rfam family: Archaeal small subunit ribosomal RNA
Source: RNAcentral